Molecule: long non-coding RNA, 779 nt
Filed under: Delphinapterus leucas (beluga whale)
Lineage: Eukaryota; Metazoa; Chordata; Mammalia; Artiodactyla; Monodontidae
Description: lncRNA (ENSDLEG00000011221.1)
Source: RNAcentral
GUAAUGGAUGAAAUCCAUCCUAAUGGCUUUUGCCCUGAAGAAGCAUUUUACAAUAUUUGGCCUUCUGCCCCACUGCCAGUAGCAUAGGCUGACUGGGUUUCUAUUACCAAUAACGUCCUUCUUUUUAUGCUCCUUGUUCUGUUUUCCUUUGUGUUGCAGUAAGCAGAAUGAAGACCAAAAGACAUUCAGAAAGGAGAACAGACAAAAGAGAAGUGAUAGUGAACAAGUGCUAGAAAUACAAGACAGAAACAAGAUUUGGGAAAAGUUUGGGACAGAUGGAAUCUAUCAUUCGAUAAUGUCAAAUGAUCCAAAAGUCUCUGGAGUCCUCUGUGUGAUCUUCGAGGACUCGUCAACCUGAAAACAGAACAGGAUGCAGGUGUUUCAACUGUGGAUGCCAUAGUGGUAGGUUCCAAGGAUCAAAGAACAAGCUCCAUUAGAAGUCAGUGUGGAUGGAUGCUCGUGGCCAGGGUUGACAUCCCCUGGUACUCACUAGCAAGGCCCUAUCAGUUGUGACAGUUGUUAUCUGUUUUGACUGGUUGGUGCCUGUAUCCUAUUGCUUGUUAAACAUUUUGAGUAUCACACCUACUGGUGACCUCGGCCUGAUGGCGGGAAGUUUAAAAAAUCCCCUCCCCCAAUUUGGAUCACCCCUUAGGGAUAAGGGAAAAAAAAGGGAAGGGAGCAUCCUGAAAUGACUGAUGAUUCCCUCCCCGGGACUCUAGAAUAAACCAGUGACUACAUUUACCUUGAUUGUUAGGCAUAAGUUUUCUGUUAUCAGUGAA